RNAcentral lists this transfer RNA (71 nucleotides) under Bacteroidales bacterium. Its description in RNAcentral is "tRNA-Trp". It matches the Rfam family "tRNA". From Rfam's summary of the family: Transfer RNA (tRNA) molecules are approximately 80 nucleotides in length. Lineage: Bacteria; Pseudomonadati; Bacteroidota; Bacteroidia; Bacteroidales. The record is from RNAcentral.
AGGGGAAUAGUUCAACGGUAGAAUACCGGUCUCCAAAACCGUAGAUGAGAGUUCGAGUCUUUCUUCCCCUG